GGCGGUCAACACUGGGGGUAGACAAGAAGCAGAUGUACUUCCAAGAGGGAGCUGCAGUGAGGUCAGAGGAGGCGCUGGAAGGUUUCCCUAAUAGUUCCUGGUGAAUCAAAGCAGAACCAUAAAGGUUGCUGGACUGCAUGAUGGCCUUACCCCUGAGCAGUCAUCCUGUUAAAGGAGGAACCAGUUAGAAGCUGUUUUCAAAGUAGCUGAGCAGAUUUCAUCUCAACAGACAAAGCCGAUGGCAGAA
Molecule: non-coding RNA, 247 nt
Organism: Maylandia zebra (zebra mbuna)
Lineage: Eukaryota; Metazoa; Chordata; Actinopteri; Cichliformes; Cichlidae
Source: RefSeq, a predicted model, not a curated record